GAUGAAGAACGUAGCGAAAUGCGAUAAGUAAUGCGAAUUGCAGAAUUCAGUGAGUCAUCGAAUCUUUGAACGCACAUUGCGCCCGCCAGCACUCUGGCGGGCAUGCCUGUUCGAGCGUCAUUUCAACCAUCAAGCCCCCAGGGGCUUGUGCUGGGGCCCUGCGGCUGCCCGCAGGCCCUGAAAACCAGUGGCGGGCUCGCUAGUCACACCGAGCGCAGUAGCACAUCUCGCUCAGGGCGUGCGGCGGGCUCCUGCCGUGAAACCCCCCACUGUAACCCCAAAGGUUGACCUCGGAUCAGGUAGGAAUACCCGCUGAACUUAAGCAUAUCAAUAAGCGGAGGA
Molecule: unclassified non-coding RNA, 342 nt
Filed under: soil metagenome
Description: partial contains 5.8S ribosomal RNA, internal transcribed spacer 2, and large subunit ribosomal RNA
Rfam family: 5.8S ribosomal RNA (bases 1-120)
Source: RNAcentral